This 184-nucleotide ribosomal RNA is filed under the name Microbacterium hominis. RNAcentral's name for it is "partial 16S ribosomal RNA". It matches the Rfam family "Bacterial small subunit ribosomal RNA", at positions 327 to 523 of the family's 1533-position model. Lineage: Bacteria; Bacillati; Actinomycetota; Actinomycetes; Micrococcales; Microbacteriaceae. The record is from RNAcentral.
CGGUCCACACUCCUACGGGAGGCAGCAGUGGGGAAUAUUGCACAAUGGGCGCAAGCCUGAUGCAGCAACGCCGCGUGAGGGAUGACGGCCUUCGGGUUGUAAACCUCUUUUAGCAGGGAAGAAGCGAAAGUGACGGUACCUGCAGAAAAAGCGCCGGCUAACUACGUGCCAGCAGCCGCGGUAA